Molecule: ribosomal RNA, 468 nt
Filed under: uncultured bacterium
Lineage: Bacteria
Description: partial 16S ribosomal RNA
Rfam family: Bacterial small subunit ribosomal RNA
Source: RNAcentral
GACGAACGCUGGCGGCGUGCUUAACACAUGCAAGUCGAACGGAAAGGCCCUGCUUUUGUGGGGUGCUCGAGUGGCGAACGGGUGAGUAACACGUGAGUAACCUGCCCUUGACUUUGGGAUAACUUCAGGAAACUGGGGCUAAUACCGGAUAGGAGCUCCUGCUGCAUGGUGGGGGUUGGAAAGUUUCGGCGGUUGGGGAUGGACUCGCGGCUUAUCAGCUUGUUGGUGGGGUAGUGGCUUACCAAGGCAUUGACGGGUAGCCGGCCUGAGAGGGUGACCGGCCCCAAUGGGACUGAGAUGCGGCCCAGACGCCUACGGGAGGCAGCAGUGGGGAAUAGUGCAAAAUGGGCGGAAGGAUGAUGCAGCAACGCCGCGUGCGGGAUGACGGCCUUCGGGUUGUAAAGCGCUUUCGCCUGUGACGAAGCGUGAGUGACGGUAAUGGGUAAAGAAGCACCGGCUAACUACGUG